AGCAGCCGCGGUAAUUCCAGCUCCAAUAGCGUAUAUUAAAGUUGUUGCAGUUAAAAAGCUCGUAGUUGAAUUUCGGGAUCAAUGCGUCGGUCGUGCCUUCGGUACGUACUAGCGUCAUUGAUUCCUCCCUUCUGAAGAACCGUGAUGUCAUUAAUUUGGUGUUACGGGGAAUCAGGACUGUUACCUUGAAAAAACUAGAGUGUUUAAAGCAGGCUAACGCUUGAAUACAUUAGCAUGGAAUAAUGAAAUAGGACGUUCGAACCUAUUUUGUUGGUUUCUAGGAUCGACGUAAUGAUUAAUAGGGAUAGUUGGGGGCAUUAGUAUUCAAUUGUCAGAGGUGAAAUUCUUGGAUUUAUUGAAGACUGACUACUGCGAAAGCAUUUGCCAAGGAUGUUUUCAUUAAUCAAGAACGAAAGUUAGGGGAUCGAAGACGAUCAGAUACCGUCGUAGUCUUAACCAUAAACUAUGCCGACUAGGGAUCGGAUGAUGUUAAUUUUUUAAUGACUCA
RNAcentral lists this ribosomal RNA (508 nucleotides) under uncultured Glomeraceae. RNAcentral describes it as "SSU rRNA". It matches the Rfam family "Eukaryotic small subunit ribosomal RNA", at positions 569 to 1078 of the family's 1831-position model. The record is from RNAcentral. Lineage: Eukaryota; Fungi; Glomeromycota; Glomeromycetes; Glomerales; Glomeraceae.